Molecule: ribosomal RNA, 447 nt
Filed under: uncultured bacterium
Lineage: Bacteria
Description: bacterial SSU rRNA
Rfam family: Bacterial small subunit ribosomal RNA
Source: RNAcentral
AAUGAACGUUGGCGGCGUGGAUUAGGCAUGCAAGUCGAGCGAGAACCCGCAAGGGGGACAGCGGCAAACGGGGUAGUAAUGUGUCGGAACGUGCCCUCUGGACGGGGAUAGCGGCGGGAAACUGCCGGUAAUACCCGAUGAACUCGAGAGAGCAAAGGUGUGAUUCCGCCGGAGGAGCGGCCGACAUGGUAUUAGCUAGUUGGCGGGGUAACGGCCCACCAAGGCUGUGAUGCCUAGGGGAUGUGAGAGCAUGAUCCCCACCAUUGGGACUGAGACACUGCCCAGACACCUACGGGUGGCUGCAGUCGAGAAUCUUCGUCAAUGGGCGAAAGCCUGAACGAGCGACGCCACGUGCGGGAUGAAGGCCCUUGGGUUGUAAAGCACUGUCGAGGGGAGAAAGUGUAAAAGCUUGAUCUAUCCCUGGAGGAAGCACGGGCUAAGUUCGUG